This 390-nucleotide ribosomal RNA is filed under the name Pireneitega neglecta. Its description in RNAcentral is "partial 16S ribosomal RNA". The record is from RNAcentral. Lineage: Eukaryota; Metazoa; Arthropoda; Arachnida; Araneae; Agelenidae.
CUCAAUGAAAUUUAAAUAGCCGCAAUAUACUUGUGCUAAGGUAGCAUAAUCAUUUGUCUUUUAAUUAAAGACUGGAACAAAAGAUUUAACAUUUUUAUUUCUUUUUUAACAAUAUUAUAUAUAAUUUAUAUUAAAUAUAAAAAUAUAUUUAUAAUUAAAAAAGACGACAAGACCCUAUUGAACUUAACUAAAGUUUAACUGGGGCAGUUAAUUAAAUACAAUUUUAAUUUAAUUUAUCAAACAUCUAAUAUAAUUAAACACAUCAAGUUACCAUAGGGAUAACAGCGUAAUAAUUUUCUAUAGAUCUUAUUUAAAAAAUAUUUUGCGACCUCGAUGUUGAAUUAAUAAUCUAUUAAAUGCAAUAAUUUAAUAAGAAAGUCUGUUCGACUU